Molecule: ribosomal RNA, 253 nt
Filed under: uncultured bacterium
Lineage: Bacteria
Description: partial 16S ribosomal RNA
Rfam family: Bacterial small subunit ribosomal RNA
Source: RNAcentral
UACGUAGGGUGCAAGCGUUGCCCGGAUUUAUUGGGCGUAAAGGGCGCGUAGGCGGCUCGGCACGUCCGUUGUGAAAUCGCCCGGCUCAACUGGGCGGGGUCAGCGGAUACGGUCGAGCUUGAGCAAGCUAGGGGGCAAUGGAAUUCCCGGUGUAGUGGUGGAAUGCGUAGAUAUCGGGAGGAACACCAGUGGCGAAGGCGGGUCUCUGGGCCGAAACUGACGCUGAGGAGCGAAAGCGUGGGGAGCAAACAGG